GUAACGUACAGAAACUUGCCAGUACUCAUUAGAACCCGUGUCGUAAUCUGUUGUUAAACGCGUUAGCAGCCGCGCAGAGAAAGUUUUCAGACUGAAUUCAACGAACAGACUGAAUUCUCUCUCCUCUUAUUUCUCUGUAUUCUCUGUCAAGACAACGCAGCAUCAACUAUUACGAGUAUUCCAUUCUGUUCAGCAAUGAACAACAAUCUCUGGCUAUCGUGUGCUACAAUUCAAAAUGUGAUGUUACAUCUCCUUAUCGGUGUACGUUAUGUUGUACUCUUAAUAUAUUUGUCUAUAACAAACAUUAUAAUUGAAUUAUAACUAGUGGGACAAGACAGUGACAAAAACACACGUUUAAUCCCAAAAUCAAACGAAGAAAUAAUUUCAAUGCGGAAUUGGUUGACAACAUAUUGACUUCUAAGAUUGCUCCUUUAUAAAAGCCAGGAGGAGACGUAACUUAUGUU
Molecule: long non-coding RNA, 464 nt
Organism: Bombus pascuorum
Lineage: Eukaryota; Metazoa; Arthropoda; Insecta; Hymenoptera; Apidae
Exons: 4
Source: RefSeq, a predicted model, not a curated record